RNAcentral lists this ribosomal RNA (465 nucleotides) under uncultured bacterium. RNAcentral's name for it is "partial 16S ribosomal RNA". It matches the Rfam family "Bacterial small subunit ribosomal RNA", at positions 28 to 507 of the family's 1533-position model. The record is from RNAcentral.
GACGAACGCUGGCGGCGUGCUUAACACAUGCAAGUCGAACGGAAAGGCCCCUUUGGGGGUACUCGAGUGGCGAACGGGUGAGUAACACGUGAGUAACCUGCCCUUGACUUCGGGAUAACUUCAGGAAACUGGGGCUAAUACCGGAUAGGAAUCCUUGCUGCAUGGUUGGGGUUGGAAAGCUUCGGUGGUGUUGGAUGGACUCGCGGCUUAUCAGCUUGUUGGUGGGGUAGUGGCUUACCAAGGCUUUGACGGGUAGCCGGCCUGAGAGGGCGACCGGCCACAUUGGGACUGAGAUACGGCCCAGACUCCUACGGGAGGCAGCAGUGGGGAAUAUUGCACAAUGGGCGGAAGCCUGAUGCAGCAACGCCGCGUGCGGGAUGACGGCCUUCGGGUUGUAAACCGCUUUCAGCAGGGGCGAAGCUUGUGGUGACGGUACCUGCAGAAGAAGCACCGGCUAACUACGUG